RNAcentral lists this ribosomal RNA (435 nucleotides) under Triticum aestivum (bread wheat). RNAcentral's name for it is "partial small subunit ribosomal RNA". Lineage: Eukaryota; Viridiplantae; Streptophyta; Magnoliopsida; Poales; Poaceae. The record is from RNAcentral.
AUGGCCAGGACGAGCUUGUUCUUGUUGGCGCGCAGUGCUAAUGGUGGCGGCCAGAAUUCAGGUUGGUCUUCGGAGGACAAGAUGUGGAAGAAAAUAGGGAACAUCCAGGUACCGAACAAGAUGAAAAUAUUGCUGUGGAGGUUUGUUCACAACAGCCUGCCAUCGGGAGAACAGUUGCAGCAUCGUCAGGUCCCAACUAGGACAGAUUGUGUGUUCUGUGGCAGAGCUGAAGGGAUUGAGCACGCAUUGCUAUUUUGUGGCCAUGCUCGAUUGGUCUGGGAGGAGAUCAAGGAGGCUUCUGGCAUCAAACUGUGUCGUUCAUCUUUCACUUCUCCUAAGCAGUGGAUGUUCGAACUGUUUGGCCGGUGCUCCGACAAGGAAAUUUCAGUCAUGACGAUCUCAUUAUGGCACAUCUGGAAAGCCCGCAAUGUAUGA